GCCCGGUUAGCUCAAUCGGUAGAGCGUGAGACUCUUAACCUCAAGGUUGCGGGUGAGUAGCCGAGAAUUCAGGCUUCUUAUUCAAAUAUAAAUUACUAUAAGAAUACUAAUAUUGUGCGCUCGGGUUCGACCCCCGCAUCGGACU
Non-coding RNA from Xylaria acuta, 145 nucleotides. The record is from the annotation of a GenBank genome assembly. NCBI's taxonomy places the organism in Eukaryota, Fungi, Ascomycota, Sordariomycetes, Xylariales, Xylariaceae.